AGUGGAUGCGAGCAUCUUUGUGGUCAAGUUGUUAAGGGCACAUGGUGGAUGUCUUGGCAUCAGGAGCCGAUGAAGGACGUGGGAGGCUGCGAUAAGCCUCGGGGAGCUGUCAACCGAGCUGUGAUCCGAGGGUGUCCGAAUGGGGAAACCCAGCACCUGUUAUGAGGUGUUACCCGUACCUGAAUAUAUAGGGUGCGUGGAGGGAACGCGGGGAAGUGAAACAUCUCAGUACCCGUAGGAAGAGAAAACACUAGUGAUUCCGUGAGUAGUGGCGAGCGAAAGCGGAGGAGGCUAAACCGUGCGCAUGUGAUACCUGUCAGGGGUUGUGUGUGCGGGGUUGUGGGA
This 345-nucleotide ribosomal RNA is filed under the name Amycolatopsis sp. KNN50.9b. RNAcentral's name for it is "bacterial LSU rRNA". It matches the Rfam family "Bacterial large subunit ribosomal RNA", at positions 1 to 305 of the family's 2925-position model. Lineage: Bacteria; Bacillati; Actinomycetota; Actinomycetes; Pseudonocardiales; Pseudonocardiaceae. The record is from RNAcentral.